AUUGAACGCUGGCGGCAGGCCUAACACAUGCAAGUCGAGCGGAUGAAGGGAGCUUGCUCCUGGAUUCAGCGGCGGACGGGUGAGUAAUGCCUAGGAAUCUGCCUGGUUGUGGGGGAUAACGUCCGGAAACGGGCGCUAAUACCGCAUACGUCCUGAGGGAGAAAGUGGGGGAUCUUCGGACCUCACGCUAUCAGAUGAGCCUAUGUCGGAUUAGCUAGUUGGCGGGGUAAAGGCCUACCAAGGCGACGAUCCGUAACUGGUCUGAGAGGAUGAUCAGUCACACUGGAACUGAGACACGGUCCAGACUCCUACGGGAGGCAGCAGUGGGGAAUAUUGGACAAUGGGCGAAAGCCUGAUCCAGCCAUGCCGCGUGUGUGAAGAAGGUCUUCGGAUUGUAAAGCACUUUAAGUUGGGAGGAAGGGCAGUAAGUUAAUACCUUGCUGUUUUGACGGUACCAACAGAAUAAGCACCGGCUAACUUCGUG
This 484-nucleotide ribosomal RNA is filed under the name uncultured bacterium. Its description in RNAcentral is "partial 16S ribosomal RNA". It matches the Rfam family "Bacterial small subunit ribosomal RNA", at positions 30 to 507 of the family's 1533-position model. The record is from RNAcentral.